AUUGAACGCUGGCGGCAUGCCUUACACAUGCAAGUCGAACGGCAGCACGGGUGCUUGCACCUGGUGGCGAGUGGCGAACGGGUGAGUAAUACAUCGGAACAUGUCCUGUAGUGGGGGAUAGCCCGGCGAAAGCCGGAUUAAUACCGCAUACGAUCCACGGAUGAAAGCGGGGGACCUUCGGGCCUCGCGCUAUAGGGUUGGCCGAUGGCUGAUUAGCUAGUUGGUGGGGUAAAGGCCUACCAAGGCGACGAUCAGUAGCUGGUCUGAGAGGACGACCAGCCACACUGGGACUGAGACACGGCCCAGACUCCUACGGGGGGCAGCAGUGGGGAAUUUUGGACAAUGGGCGAAAGCCUGAUCCAGCAAUGCCGCGUGUGUGAAGAAGGCCUUCGGGUUGUAAAGCACUUUUGUCCGGAAAGAAAUCCUUGGCUCUAAUACAGUCGGGGGAUGACGGUACCGGAAGAAUAAGCACCGGCUAACUACGUG
This 486-nucleotide ribosomal RNA is filed under the name uncultured bacterium. RNAcentral's name for it is "partial 16S ribosomal RNA". It matches the Rfam family "Bacterial small subunit ribosomal RNA", at positions 30 to 507 of the family's 1533-position model. The record is from RNAcentral.